RNAcentral lists this ribosomal RNA (305 nucleotides) under uncultured bacterium. RNAcentral's name for it is "bacterial SSU rRNA". It matches the Rfam family "Bacterial small subunit ribosomal RNA", at positions 192 to 507 of the family's 1533-position model. The record is from RNAcentral.
CGUACGGAAGUAAAGUAUUUAUCGUCUUUGAGAGCACGCCUGCCGUCCUAUCAGCUUAGUUGGGUAGGGGUAAAAGCCUACCGAAGGCUCUGACGGGUAGGGGGUGUGAGAGCAUGACCCCCAACAUUGGGACUGAGACACUGCCCAAACUCCUACGGGAGGCUGCAGUCGAGAAUAUUCGUCAAUGGGCGAAAGCCUGAACGAGCGAUGCCGCGUGUAGGAUGAAGGCCUUCGGGUCGUAAACUACUUUUCAGGGAAGAAUUUCGAUGACGGUACCUGGAGAAUAAGAGGUUACUAACUCUGUG